GAAUAUGUUUUGAAAAUGGGAGUAUGGUACUUGAUUGAUGGUCGAGUAGGCAAGGGACGCGGGAGGAACCGGCGGACCCAACACAUGGUGGCAAAUACCUGAGGUCGAAAGACCAGUAUGGAAAACCCACAAUUAAAGAAAUGAAAUACGGCUAAUACCUGAGGUCGAAAGGCCGGUAUGGAAACCCCCGUAUUAUCUAUUGGCCAAAUUUGAUGAACAGGUUCCAAAAAUCAAAGUCUAUUGCUAUCAGUCAAGUACCACACUUCAAGGGUACCCGAUAAAGAGAAGGAUUUCAAAGAAAAGGAUCACGAAUGAAGUUAUAGAUGUGAUAUUGUACUUAUUGAAUGGAUAAUGUGUUAUGUGAUUGAUAUAUUGCUAUUACAUCAGUUUCAACUUGCUGAGCCAUUAGCUCAUUAGGUUCUUAUGAUGCAGGUAAUGAUGUACAUGUUUAGAAGUUGACCUAGCCAAGAGCGGCUAGUCAGAUAUUUGUUCAUAUGCCAUGCUUCGAGCCAUUUUUGUAGCCGAGCAGAAACUCUGAUUUCAUUUUGUUAGCCGCUCUAUUAUGGUUUUUGUACAAUGUAAUUUUGUAAACAAUGAAUAUAUAUAUGUACGGAUUUUGAGAAAGUACUAAGUUUGAUUUCUUUUCAAAGCAUAUAACGUAUUUUUGUAUUAAAACCAUAAUGUUUAAGUAUAUAUAUAAAAAGCUUAGCAUCCCUAACUUAAUGGCGGUGAUCCGAUUGGAUUCUGCUGUUAGGUUGUGCGGUGUUACAUUUUUGGUAUCAGAGCGGAGGUUUAAAAUCUUUUCUGAAGACAGAAGAAGGCAUAUGAACAUACUUUGGCUGGGAAGCUAGGUUAACUCUUUUCUUAUUUACCUAUGUGUUUAAUUUAUAUGUUGCAUAGCAAAUAUCCAGAAUUGUUCGGUACGUCAAAUUUCGAGGGCGAAAUUUUAUAAGGAGGGAAGAAUUGUAAUGCCCAACCAUCCAUACAUGGCCAAUAAUAAGCAUAUUGCAUCAAUGCAUAUAGUUAUAAUUCAUUAUUCAUGAUGCAUGAUCACGACUACUUGCUACACAUGUGCCUUAAUUGUGUUUUAAUACGUGAUCGAAUACUUUUCUUAAACUGUGAUAAUAUAUGAUACAUGUUAUUGAACUUCUACUUUAUGAUUUAACAUUAACUUAAAUGAUUUAUUGUAGUGAGAAGUUAAGUUUCUCGCUAAACGGUGAUAUAUUUGUCUUAGAUGCAUUUCUGCAUUUUAAUUAUGAUUAAUUACAUAUGUAAUUAUUUGAAGUAACUCAUACUAGACUAAAACCAAAAGUAUGCAAAAUGGUGCAUUUUGAUUGGUUGGUUGACUAGGUUGCACGAGACCAUUCUGAAAUUGUUUACACUUGAUUAUAAUGAGUAUGCAUCAGCCCAUUUCUUAUCUCAAGCUAUAAAAACGUGGAGGAACCACAAGAAUCCAGCAAAUACAAGCCUUCCAAUCACCAUCCUCCAUUUGGCCUUGUUGGGAAUGGGUAGAUAAGUGAAGACUUUGUGUUUUGGUCUUCAUUUUCACUUGUCUUCUUCCAAAAAUGACCAGACCUAUUUCCUUAAUUUUGUCUUCAUAUUUCUUCACUUCCAUACUCACAUAAGAGAGCAUCAAACCAUAAAAACUCAUAGAAGUAGAGCUAGAACAAGUUCUGCACCUUUUCUAGCUGAAAAUCCUAUGUUUUGAAGUUGAAUUCAUCUCUAAUCAAGGCUUCUAGCACACCUUAUCUAAAACUGAUCCUUUCAUUUCAUAAACCAUUAUUGAUCUUGAGGUAAGUUGAAGCUUUCAUUUGCACAUCGUAAGAACCUAAUUAUGUGCGCUUUAAUGUGACUUUUGCUAUGUAUUCUCUAUAAUGUUUGAAUGAUUGAUGAGUCAUAGUGAUAUGAAAGAAUAUGUUUUGAAAAUGGGAGUAUGGUACUUGAUUGAUGGUCGAGUAGGCAAGGGACGCAGGAGGAACCGGCGGACCCAACACAUGGUGGCAAAUACCUGAGGUCGAAAGACCAGUAUGGAAAACCCACAAUUAAAGAAAUGAAAUACGGCUAAUACCUGAGGUCGAAAGGCCGGUAUGGAAACCCCCGUAUUAUCUAUUGGCCAAAUUUGAUGAACAGGUUCCGAAAAUCAAAGUCUAUUGCUAUCAGUCAAGUACCACACUUCAAGGGUACCCGAUAAAGAGAAGGAUUUCAAAGAAAAGGAUCACGAAUGAAGUUAUAGAUGUGAUAUUGU
This 2245-nucleotide long non-coding RNA is filed under the name Erythranthe guttata (spotted monkey flower). RNAcentral describes it as "long non-coding RNA (EGUT_LNC002574)". Lineage: Eukaryota; Viridiplantae; Streptophyta; Magnoliopsida; Lamiales; Phrymaceae. The record is from RNAcentral.